GGGUAGCCACUCCUAUAUAUUGUUUAGCAUGACUUUGUGGGGUAUGGAAUACCCCUUUGACCAGUUUGAGUCAGCUGUCCUGAGUCUGUCCCCUCCCAGCUCUUGCUGCAUCCCUAGCCUGCCCGCAGGCAGGACAGAGCGAG
Long non-coding RNA from Oxyura jamaicensis (ruddy duck), 143 nucleotides. RefSeq lists it as uncharacterized. The record is from RefSeq and is a predicted model, not a curated record. The transcript is spliced from 3 exons. NCBI's taxonomy places the organism in Eukaryota, Metazoa, Chordata, Aves, Anseriformes, Anatidae.